Acinonyx jubatus (cheetah) is the source of this 320-nucleotide long non-coding RNA. RefSeq lists it as uncharacterized. The record is from RefSeq and is a predicted model, not a curated record. Lineage: Eukaryota; Metazoa; Chordata; Mammalia; Carnivora; Felidae. The transcript is spliced from 3 exons.
AGUAGAUUUCCGCACCUGCUGCCAAAAUCUUAAAAGGUUAUACAGAGACCAUUAGUCCAGAUGGUUUCAAUAACUCCUUACACUCUCAAGGAACUUUCUUUAAUCCUGUCUAGGCAUUCAACAUACGCAUCAUUCAGAGCAGCGGAAGGAGGACCAGAUGAUGCAGAAGGAAGGACCAGAUGACAUGUUAUAAGAAUACUAUUGGUUCUGUUAAUUUACCAUGUUAGAAUUGGUCACACUGGAUGGAAGAGGCAUUUCCAGGACUUUAUGAGUUAGUUAAAAAGUCCUCCCACUGAUUGUGAACAAGCCUUCAAAAGGUA